CCAACUAUGCAUAGAAUAAUUAUACGGCCAAAAAAAAAAAUGCAUAGAGUACAUUGGUCAGUUUUAGCGAAGCCGCGACGUUGUGCCAGUUUGACAAGUCAUGUGCGGCGCACAGGCUGCCUUGCUUUCUGGAAUUCUGUCGGCGAUGGCUCACUCGCGGACGCUCCCAGGCAAGGUCCGAGAGUGCAUUAAUUCAUUCGCUGUUCCCUGUGCAUUCCAGAUCAGCCAAUCCCCAGC
RNAcentral lists this long non-coding RNA (237 nucleotides) under Elaeis guineensis (African oil palm). Its description in RNAcentral is "long non-coding RNA (EGUI_LNC005169)". Lineage: Eukaryota; Viridiplantae; Streptophyta; Magnoliopsida; Arecales; Arecaceae. The record is from RNAcentral.